RNAcentral lists this long non-coding RNA (204 nucleotides) under Panax ginseng (ginseng). RNAcentral describes it as "long non-coding RNA (PGIN_LNC013995)". The record is from RNAcentral. Lineage: Eukaryota; Viridiplantae; Streptophyta; Magnoliopsida; Apiales; Araliaceae.
AUCCAUAAAAACCAACCCAACUGGCAGUUUUAGAUUCAUUAUCAAAAAGACCAGAACGAGAUGAGUCAGGACAAAACAAGUAUAGGAUUUUAGUGUGAUUCCCUUUUGGUUGUUUCCUCCCUCCCUCCCUCCAUUCUUUCUUCUAUCCUACUUUAAUUUCUCAAACACUACUAUACCCUACAUAAUAUAAACCAGGACAAGGCC